UACGUAGGGUGCAAGCGUUGUCCGGAAUUAUUGGGCGUAAAGAGCUCGUAGGCGGUCUGUCGCGUCGGCUGUGAAAACUCGGGGCUCAACUCCGAGCUUGCAGUCGAUACGGGCAGGCUAGAGUUCGGCAGGGGAGACUGGAAUUCCUGGUGUAGCGGUGAAAUGCGCAGAUAUCAGGAGGAACACCGGUGGCGAAGGCGGGUCUCUGGGUAGUAACUGACGCUGAGGAACGAAAGCGUGGGUAGCGAACAGG
This 253-nucleotide ribosomal RNA is filed under the name uncultured bacterium. RNAcentral describes it as "partial 16S ribosomal RNA". It matches the Rfam family "Bacterial small subunit ribosomal RNA", at positions 524 to 776 of the family's 1533-position model. The record is from RNAcentral.